AACGAACGCUGGCGGCAGGCUUAACACAUGCAAGUCGAACGCGUGCAGCAAUGCACGAGUGGCGCACGGGUGAGUAACGAGUGGAUAUCUGCCUUUUGGUUCGGAAUAACCCCGGGAAACUGGGGCUAAUACCGGAUGGUUCCUACGGGAUAAAGAUUUAUCGCCAAAAGAUGAGUCCGCGUCCGAUUAGCUAGUUGGUGAGGUAAUGGCUCACCAAGGCGACGAUCGGUAGCUGGUCUGAGAGGACGAUCAGCCACACUGGGACUGAGACACGGCCCAGACUCCUACGGGAGGCAGCAGUGGGGAAUAUUGGACAAUGGGGGCAACCCUGAUCCAGCCAUGCCGCGUGAGUGAUGAAGGCCUUCGGGUUGUAAAGCUCUUUGGCGGGGACGAUGAUGACGGUACCCGCAGAAUAAGCCCCGGCUAACUUCGUG
Molecule: ribosomal RNA, 434 nt
Filed under: uncultured bacterium
Lineage: Bacteria
Description: partial 16S ribosomal RNA
Rfam family: Bacterial small subunit ribosomal RNA
Source: RNAcentral